UGGGGAAUUUUGGACAAUGGGCGAAAGCCUGAUCCAGCAAUGCCGCGUGUGUGAAGAAGGCCUUCGGGUUGUAAAGCACUUUCGUCCGGAAAGAAAUGGCUCUGGUUAAUACCUGGGGUCGAUGACGGUACCGGAAGAAUAAGGACCGGCUAACUACGUG
RNAcentral lists this ribosomal RNA (160 nucleotides) under uncultured bacterium. RNAcentral describes it as "partial 16S ribosomal RNA". It matches the Rfam family "Bacterial small subunit ribosomal RNA", at positions 355 to 507 of the family's 1533-position model. The record is from RNAcentral.